This 377-nucleotide ribosomal RNA is filed under the name uncultured soil bacterium. Its description in RNAcentral is "bacterial SSU rRNA". It matches the Rfam family "Bacterial small subunit ribosomal RNA", at positions 26 to 412 of the family's 1533-position model. The record is from RNAcentral.
AGAUUGAACGCUGGCGGCAUGCCUAACACAUGCAAGUCGAACGGGAGUAGCAAUACUCUAGUGGCGGACGGGUGAGGAAUACGUAGGAAUUUGCCCUUAAGUGGGGGAUAACCCGGGGAAACCCGGAUUAAUACCGCAUGACCUCGAAAGAGCAAAGUGGGGGAGUCGCAAGACCUCACGCUUUUGGAGAAGCCUACGUCGGAUUAGCUAGUUGGUGAGGUAAUGGCUCACCAAGGCGACGAUCCGUAACUGGUCUGAGAGGAUGAUCAGUCACACCGGAACUGAGACACGGUCCGGACUCCUACGGGAGGCAGCAGUGGGGAAUAUUGGACAAUGGGGCGCGAAGCCUGAUCCAGCAAUGCCGCGUGUGUGAAGAA